AAUCCCCGAGUAGAACACAUUGCUCAAUAAAUCAUAAUAUUUGUCCCAUCGAAAAAGUGGCAUUCAAUUUUUCUUUAAUUCAUCUGUAAAUUAAAUAAUUCCGCUCGCUCCUAUUAUAAAAAGUUCAAACAAAUAAACAAAGACAAUUCGGCGCGACCGUGUGAAUGGAUGGAGCGAAAUAUUUAUAUCUGUUAUUGAGACGAGAGUGCAUCGGUAUUGGUUGAAAUAAAAGGUGGGGGGGAAAUGGCACAAGCUCUGUAAAUAGUGCACGGACCGGGGACGAUGCGAAAGAUCAAUGCGUACACCUAAUUUAAUGCUCAAUGCAAUAUCGCCAUCUUUUUUAUACUUUUUUUCUUCAUUUUUUUUCUUCCGCUGCGCGUAUCGAGCCAAUUUAAUAUCGCUGUUGGACAAGGACGAGAAUAUAUACAUUGAAUAUCCAAAGGUAUAUUGGAAUACAUCGUCGGUAUAUUAGGAGCGAUGGUGCAACGGAGCGGCGGGUCUGCGGAGGGGCGGAACGCCGAGCGGCGGGGGGGAUGAGAAAGCUCACCGCGAACGUCGUCGUCGUCGUCGUUCGCACGACGUCGAAACAAAUAAUAAAAUAAGAAGAGUGGAAACAUUCGCAGGACUUGAAAUCUCGAGGAGCAAUGGGUAAAGGAGGAAAAGGUGGCGGUGGAAAGGGUGGAGAUAAGAAAGCUGCACCCGCGAGCGGCGGAGCAUCCGGUGGAAAAGCCGCGGACGCUAAGGGCGACGCGAACAAAAACAAAGGCGGCAAAAAGGGUGGGAAAAAAUAAUGUUCUUUGCGUACGAAGGGAAGCGAUUUAUCACGAAGCGUAUUCGGACCACUUCUACCUCGAUAAUUCCCCUCGCCCCGGCCCCUCAAAACCCUCAAAUUUGUGAUUCAUUAAAUUACUCGCUCGAAAUGCUCGCAUUGUUUAUCAACUUCGUUGAAUAAAGAAUAUUGAAUUUCA
Molecule: long non-coding RNA, 968 nt
Organism: Venturia canescens
Lineage: Eukaryota; Metazoa; Arthropoda; Insecta; Hymenoptera; Ichneumonidae
Exons: 5
Source: RefSeq, a predicted model, not a curated record